GGGAAUAGGUGAAAUGGGGUUCGUAGAUCAUCAGGUCGGGGCGCUCGAUGUCCAGGAUCGCUUUGUCCUUCGGGAUGGCCGCCAGGUCCUUAUAGCCCAGCACCUCGUUGUCCAUCUUGGCCACGAUGCUGGAGGGCGAUCCGGGGACGCUGGAGCCGCGCGAGGAGCAGACGCUCCCAGGGGAGGUCAGCGGUUGCUUCUGCACCCUUUCCAUUCAGCUGUGCGCCGGGGGGGCUGCGUCAGUCACAGGGUCCGCUGUGUCUGUGGGUCCGCAUCCCUCUGGGCGCUGCGCGGGCGCUGGGCUGCGGGUGCUGCUGCUUCAGUGCAGAGCGGGACCCCCCGCACGCCGCUCCGCCCGUCCGCCGGGUGCCAUCCCCGCGCCCCGCAUCCCUCCCCUGCGCAGCACCGCGUUGCUACAGCGACCGCCUCCCGCCGCAACCGGCUGCAGCCGAGCGCUGAGGGUGUGCGGGAGCCGCCUGCGGCCUCGCGGGAGGAGGAGGAGGAGGAGGUGGAGGAAGAGGAGGAGGAGGAUGCGACGCCUGCAGCCCGGCUGUGCUGCGGCCGCCCCCCGCCCCAAGCGCUGCUCUGGUGGGGUGGGGUCGCAGGGGGCAGCCCCGGGGGCGGGGUACCCCGCGGGGACCCCCGGGUGUUGGGUACCCGCUGGUUCCAGGGACCCCGGAGUGAUGGGGACCCCUCUGGGUACCCUUUGGUGUUGGGGAGCCCUAUGGGGUCUCAGUAUCCCCGGGUGUUGGAUACCCGCUGGAUCCAGGGACCCCUGAGCGAUGGGCAUCCCUGGGGGAUGGGGACCCCUUUGGGGACCCCUUGGUGUUGGGGAGCCCUAUGGGGUCUCAGUAUCCCUCAGUGCCAGGGACUCCGUGGCACUGGGAAACCCCGGGACCCCUUUGGGGACGGGGGACCCUUUGGCACCGCGCAUCCCUCUAUGAUGCAAAACCUCCCCGUGGCACUGGGAGACCCCCUAUGGGAGGUACCCCCCCCGGGCACCGGGACCCCUUGGCAAUGGGUACCCACAGUUCCAGGCAGCCCGUGCCACACUGUGCCCCCCCUGGGGGCCGGGUGCCCCCUCCGGGCACCCCUCGAUGCGGGGUACCCCCCACUAAUGGGUACACCUGCGCUCCUGGGCACCCCCAGUUCCAGACACCCCUGAUUUUGGGUACCCCCCCACACGAGGAUGCUGAUGUGGGCCGAGCACUGCACCCCGGAUGCACUCCCCCUCCUCCCCCCCCAUAGGGGUGGCUCUGGGAUGCCCUCCAGAGCACUUUCUCUCCCCAAACCCCCACCCCAAACCCCCAUCUCUCACCUCAAUGCAUAAGAAAGGAGCAGGGAGGGUUUGCCAUCCCCGGCCAUAAUUAAGGACUCACCCUUCCGAGCCCCUUCA
RNAcentral lists this long non-coding RNA (1396 nucleotides) under Gallus gallus (chicken). Lineage: Eukaryota; Metazoa; Chordata; Aves; Galliformes; Phasianidae. The record is from RNAcentral.